Molecule: transfer RNA, 73 nt
Filed under: Vagococcus penaei
Lineage: Bacteria; Bacillati; Bacillota; Bacilli; Lactobacillales; Enterococcaceae
Rfam family: tRNA
About the family: Transfer RNA (tRNA) molecules are approximately 80 nucleotides in length. Their secondary structure includes four short double-helical elements and three loops (D, anti-codon, and T loops).
Source: Rfam by way of RNAcentral
GCCGCCUUAGCUCAGCUGGUAGAGCACCACCAUGGUAAGGUGGGGGUCGUGAGUUCAAGCCUCAUAGGUGGCU